This 444-nucleotide ribosomal RNA is filed under the name uncultured bacterium. RNAcentral's name for it is "partial 16S ribosomal RNA". It matches the Rfam family "Bacterial small subunit ribosomal RNA", at positions 354 to 796 of the family's 1533-position model. The record is from RNAcentral.
GUGAGGAAUAUUGGUCAAUGGGCGCAAGCCUGAACCAGCCAUGCCGCGUGCAGGAAGACGGUCCUAUGGAUUGUAAACUGCUUUUAUUUGGGAAUAAACUCCGGUACGUGUACCGGCCUGAAGGUACCAAAUGAAUAAGCACCGGCUAACUCCGUGCCAGCAGCCGCGGUAAUACGGAGGGUGCAAGCGUUAUCCGGAAUCAUUGGGUUUAAAGGGUCCGCAGACGGUCAUAUAAGUCAGUGGUGAAAGCCUACAGCUCAACUGUAGAACUGCCAUUGAUACUGUAGGACUUGAAUUCGAUCGAAGUGGGCGGAAUGUGACAUGUAGCGGUGAAAUGCUUAGAUAUGUCACAGAACACCGAUAGCGAAGGCAGCUCACUAGGUCUGGAUUGACGCUCAGGGACGAAAGCGUGGGGAGCAAACAGGAUUAGAUCCCUUGUAGUCC